UAACCUACUCCAUUCUGAUCUCUCUCUG
Molecule: small RNA, 28 nt
Filed under: Bombyx mori (domestic silkworm)
Lineage: Eukaryota; Metazoa; Arthropoda; Insecta; Lepidoptera; Bombycidae
Description: ovarian small RNA-18760
Source: RNAcentral